Molecule: long non-coding RNA, 818 nt
Organism: Bubalus bubalis (water buffalo)
Lineage: Eukaryota; Metazoa; Chordata; Mammalia; Artiodactyla; Bovidae
Exons: 5
Source: RefSeq, a predicted model, not a curated record
GGAGAGCAUGGACUCUAUUGCGGGAGCUGGCACCUGAGUUCAAUCAAAGAACUUUGUUUUUGAACCAAACUCCAUCUCACUCUACUGGCGCAAGCAACACCUGCCGGAGGACGUUUGAUGGGAGCCAACUCAAAAGGCGUGGUAACUGAAACCAAGGAACGUGAAACUUCAGAGAAGGGGGACCUACUCUACACAGCCCCAGUACUGGAGCCACCUUGGGGACACUGUGGAGAUUUUAUGAACCAGGAGAGACUAGAAAGGGACCAUCUCUACCUGUGAGGAGAGGAUGCUGCUCUUUGUCUCCCAUCUGCCUGCUCAUCAGCUUCCAGAAGCAGCAGAGACCUUGCAUCUUCUCAAUGACUCAUGUCAGGAGACACAUGAUAUUGACUGGUCCCGCCAGUGGUCACAACGUGCAUCACCUGGUCAUAGUGCUAACUACCAGAUUGCCCUACAGUGAGGUCACCGUUUUCCCUCUGUAGUUGAUGAGUCUUCGAGGGAGCAAGAGAAGUCUUAUGACCAUGAUAUGAUGGAUGAAUGGAUGAGAGGACUUAGGCUCAGAGAACUAUGCAGGGUUGCUCAGAAUGACAAAGUUGGUGGAGGGCAUACCCAGGAAUUAACCUGAAGUCUUCUGCCAUUAAAUUUUACAUUCUCGUCAUUACGUCAUCUGAGAGGGAAGCAGAUAAGUGUAAGAUUUGGCUAUGGUAUUGGAGAAAACUCUUGAGAGUCCCUUGGACUGCAAGGGGAUCCAACCAGUCCAUCCUGAAGGAGAUCAGUCUUCAAUAUCCAUUGGAAGGACUGAUGCUGAAGAUGAAACUCCA